Molecule: long non-coding RNA, 278 nt
Organism: Labeo rohita (rohu)
Lineage: Eukaryota; Metazoa; Chordata; Actinopteri; Cypriniformes; Cyprinidae
Exons: 3
Source: RefSeq, a predicted model, not a curated record
CUGCUUCCUUGAACUCUAUGCUGUUUCCACGUGGACUUCUACAUUGUGCUUUGGAGAUUGGCGUGGCUCAGUACUUGGACUCUGUGUCAUCUCAACGCUACAACACCAUUCAAAGAAAGAAAUGUGUCCAGGUUUGAAACAACACGAGGGAUUCUCAUUCAUCUCCAUGACCGCUUUUCAGGACUUGCCGCCUUUGAGCAUGCGCUCGCAGAAUGUUUUGAGCCACACACCUGAUUUAUUUCUUUGGAGCUGUAGAGAAAUGAUCGACUGACGUCAUG